RNAcentral lists this ribosomal RNA (208 nucleotides) under uncultured bacterium. RNAcentral's name for it is "partial 16S ribosomal RNA". It matches the Rfam family "Bacterial small subunit ribosomal RNA", at positions 8 to 211 of the family's 1533-position model. The record is from RNAcentral.
AGAGUUUGAUCAUGGCUCAGGAUAAACGCUGGCGGCGCACAUAAGACAUGCAAGUCGAACGAACUUAACCAUUAGUUUACUAUUGGAGCGGUUAGUGGCGGACUGGUGAGUAACACGUAAGCAACCUGCCUAUCAGAGGGGAACAACAGUUAGAAAUGACUGCUAAUACCGCAUAUGCCUUAGAAUCACAUGGUUACGAAAAGGGAAA